GAGGAGUCCGAGGCACCAUUGGGAGAUUCACAGGAAAGAGAAUGGAUGGGGGAGUCUUUUACAGAGAAUGGUUCCUAAGUCUUCUCUCCUCUGUCUCGGCGGCCCUUCUACUCCCCUGCGUCUGCAAGCGCCUUUGUGGCCUCCACUGCAGGCCUCCAGCCAAGGCCAAAACGGAUUCUUUUCAUCUAUUCAAGUGUGAUCUGGGCCAGACAAGCCUGCUCCCCAGGCAAGAGGCAUAGAAAAGUAUUCUGUAUUCAGCUUUCAGCUCCGCAGACUCUAUGGGGAGGGCCCAGCCCAAGCUUGGCAAGGCCGACGCAGUGACCAGGGCCAUUUGGCAGACGCAGGAAUGCUGUCUGUUUGGCCCCUUCCCUUCACCUGGACAGAGCACCGAGCAGAAAGCAGCAGGAAUGUGUUUGUGCAGGUAGACUGAGCUGGAGUCGUUCGCUGUAGAAUUGAUCAACCAAGCAGCCCUCCUGUCAUUGUGUGAAGAGAGAUCAAAGAACAGUCUGAAAUCUGCGUGUAUUUGUAAGGUUUGGAAGGAGAUACUAAAUGUUCAGUCUAUCUAUCUUGCAGCAUCUACCUGAUUUAGGACACAAUA
Molecule: long non-coding RNA, 598 nt
Organism: Myotis brandtii (Brandt's bat)
Lineage: Eukaryota; Metazoa; Chordata; Mammalia; Chiroptera; Vespertilionidae
Exons: 3
Source: RefSeq, a predicted model, not a curated record